Non-coding RNA from Molorchus minor, 67 nucleotides. The record is from the annotation of a GenBank genome assembly. NCBI's taxonomy places the organism in Eukaryota, Metazoa, Arthropoda, Insecta, Coleoptera, Cerambycidae.
CGCGCGGUAGCUCAGUUGGAAGAGCAUUGGUCCGGAAAGGUCCCAGGUUCAAGCCCCGGCGGCGUUA